CCACGAUAGGCGGGGGGCUGGCGGUCCCCUGUACCCGAAACCCGCCAUAGCGGGGCCGAAAUCCUGCUUGAGGCUACUUAAGUCGGGAAACAGGCUGAACUGAACGUGAUGAAGGCUGGGUCCUGUGCAACGAUGUACCAUGAACCUGGUCAGGUCCGGAAGGAAGCAGCCAUAAGUGGUUCACAUCGUGUGCCGCAGGGGAGCCUGGCUGGAGCGGGAGGUGCAGUCAUGCCCCGGUUCGGGUAAGUCGACAGCAGGUUCGUGG
This 265-nucleotide signal recognition particle RNA is filed under the name Pseudothermotoga lettingae TMO. Its description in RNAcentral is "Thermotoga lettingae TMO Bacterial large signal recognition particle RNA". It matches the Rfam family "Bacterial large signal recognition particle RNA". Rfam says of the family: The signal recognition particle (SRP) is a universally conserved ribonucleoprotein involved in the co-translational targeting of proteins to membranes. Archaeal SRP consists of a 7S RNA and homologues of the eukaryotic SRP19 and SRP54 proteins. Lineage: Bacteria; Thermotogati; Thermotogota; Thermotogae; Thermotogales; Thermotogaceae. The record is from Rfam by way of RNAcentral. RNAcentral also lists the same sequence under 1 other name.